UACAGAGGGGGCAAGCGUUAUUCGGAAUUAUUGGGCGUAAAGGGCGCGUCGGCGGCCUGGCAAGUGGAAGGUGAAAUCCCUCGGCUUAACCGAGGAACUGCCCUCCAAACUGCUUGGCUUGAGUCCGGGAGAGGUGAGUGGAAUUCCCAGUGUAGCGGUGAAAUGCGUAGAUAUUGGGAGGAACACCAGUGGCGAAGGCGGCUCACUGGACCGGAACUGACGCUGAGGCGCGAAAGCGUGGGGAGCAAACGGG
This 253-nucleotide ribosomal RNA is filed under the name uncultured bacterium. Its description in RNAcentral is "partial 16S ribosomal RNA". It matches the Rfam family "Bacterial small subunit ribosomal RNA", at positions 524 to 776 of the family's 1533-position model. The record is from RNAcentral.